CUCCCACAAUGAUGAAUGGCCAGAUAUCCUGAGGUUUAAUCCCCAGCUCUUCUUGCCUGUUACGCUCCAGUUCUAAGUUGUGAGGAAAAUGAUAACAAUAUUGGAGAGACAGAUCCCAGAACCACCACCAAAAGAAGUACACCGUAAAAUGUAAUAAGUCACAGAAAGAGAUCCCUGGUGCCGUGUCCACUCACCUUCCAUCACUAUCGCCUCCUCCUCGUUGUCUGUGCUGCUCAGUGUCUCCG
Molecule: long non-coding RNA, 245 nt
Organism: Polyodon spathula (Mississippi paddlefish)
Lineage: Eukaryota; Metazoa; Chordata; Actinopteri; Acipenseriformes; Polyodontidae
Exons: 3
Source: RefSeq, a predicted model, not a curated record